Nasonia vitripennis (jewel wasp) is the source of this 1652-nucleotide long non-coding RNA. RefSeq lists it as uncharacterized. NCBI's taxonomy places the organism in Eukaryota, Metazoa, Arthropoda, Insecta, Hymenoptera, Pteromalidae. The record is from RefSeq and is a predicted model, not a curated record. The transcript has 7 exons.
GGCAACUUCGCGCGCGUUCGGAAAAAACGAGCAUCGACUCCCUCUAUCACACGUGUGUGUGUACACACGUUCAUAUCAGUUUCGUCGCGUCGUUCUCCGGAUCCAAAUUCGAUUCUGCUGAACUGUUCAUUAGCAAAAUUCCGUUUUACGUAUGAAGAAUUUGAAAAUUCAAAAAAUUCCCGUGUAUCGACUAGCCCUUUGUUCACUCUUUGAGGAAAAAAAAAGCGCUGAACAUCCGAAACGGCUCCGGCGAAGCUCGACGCUUUGAAAAAUGCAACCGAUCGGCUGUACCAAGGAGGACAACUGCAAGCGCGACGCCUUCCUUCGAGCGCAAGCACGAGCUGCGGCGGCCAAAGGCCAGAAAAACGUCGAACUACUCCAAGAAGCCGGUGGCGGUUGCUGUUGUCUAGCCGCGUGUGCCAAAGUCACCGUCGCCAAUCAACAGCAGUCGCCGGAACCGACGGAACAAUUAGUCGUCGAAACUCCGCGGGAGGAAGCAGUGCCGACGGCCACAUCGACAGUGGAAACGGUCGACGGAAACAGCGCACCAGAAGAGACCGCGGAGUCACCGUAGAUUUUUCGUUCUCCUCCGUAUAUACCACUUGCGGCGAGUCAUGGGUGACGAAUUAGCCCCUGGGAGCGAAUCAACCGGGGAUUAACUGUACGGAGAAGUUCGACGCGAAGAGAGAGAGAGAGAGAGAUAGAAACACGGAGAGCCAUGUCGAGAGAACAAUGCAAGGGACAAUACUGCAGCCAGGACUCGGAGUGCGACGACGAGGAGAUUUCGAACAGACGGCCAGCAGCGAGACGGGAGAGCAACGACGACGAGGACGACGCUGCCGCGAGGAAAGAAAGAUUCGACGAGGCGGUGUUUACACUCGCUACUAUCGUCGCCGUCCUGGGGAUCUACGGCUGUCUCGUCUACGCCCUCAGUAGUCCGCCGGCUGCGAAUGCUUCCGAUUACGCUCAGGUCUGACGAAGAAGCUCGCGCGAGAGUCUCUUCGGUGUUUCCGCCGCGCGCUGAAAAAGCUCGAAGUGCCAGCGGAAUCCUGUUGCGCCCAGCGACGAAGCUCUCACGCGUAUACACGUAGACAGGAACCAUAAACCUUCAGCCGGACGGAGAGCGGAAAAAAUAAAGGAGAAACGCCUGGAGCGAGUCGAAAUCACGUUACAUUACCGUUGCUCCGUCUCAGACCGGCAUCCUUUGGAGAAAAACGCUCGCCCGUAGGUACAGUCGGCCCCUUCAAAGGGAAAACGAUUCGGAUCAACUCGAGAAAAUGGCCCAAUCACGGCGGAUUCAGGCGUUUUCGUUCGUCCGUCUCUCUAUCCGCAGGUCGCUUCAGUUGACGUGUAUGUGAGCGAAGCAGGAGACGUAGUGGUAGGUACCGAUGCGACUUUGCGGGGGAGAGACACUCUAGAGGGUUGAAAGGCCAGGAAUGCGGAAGACGAGAAGAAGAGAGACGUGGCGAUGAAAGGCAUCAGGAUGAACUAAACUACACGCGGCAUUGAAUGAUGGUGCUUCCACCGAGCGAGUCGGCUUGUAUUCUUGUUCGCCGCUGUCGCGCACCUUAUUCGAGUAAAUCAGCCAUGUGAGCUUUUUUAUACGGAAGCGGAUGCAUCAAGUUUGCGUAAUUAAAUACUGCGUAAAAGAA